CCCUUAGAUGUUCUGGGCCGCACGCGCGCUACACUGACGAAUGCAACGAGCUUAUAACCUUGGCCGAAAGGUCUGGGUAAUCUCCAAAUUUCGUCGUGAUGGGGAUAGAUUAUUGCAAUUAUUAAUCUUCAACGAGGAAUGCCUAGUAAGCGCAAGUCAUCAGCUUGCGUUGACUACGUCCCUGCCCUUUGUACACACCGCCCGUCGCUCCUACCGAUUGAAUGGUCCGGUGAAGCGUUCGGACCGUGGCCUUUGGACGGUUCGCCGUCUGUUGGCUGCGGGAAGUUCGUUAAACCUUAUCAUUUAGAGGAAGGAGAAGUCGUAACA
RNAcentral lists this ribosomal RNA (327 nucleotides) under uncultured eukaryote. Its description in RNAcentral is "partial 18S ribosomal RNA". It matches the Rfam family "Eukaryotic small subunit ribosomal RNA", at positions 1470 to 1796 of the family's 1831-position model. The record is from RNAcentral.